This 1393-nucleotide long non-coding RNA is filed under the name Cicer arietinum (chickpea). Its description in RNAcentral is "long non-coding RNA (CARI_LNC002544)". The record is from RNAcentral. Lineage: Eukaryota; Viridiplantae; Streptophyta; Magnoliopsida; Fabales; Fabaceae.
UGAUCCUAAAUCAGUUCUUAUAAUCAACUAACAACUAAUUAUAAUUAAAUACUGUCACUAACUUACACCAUAUCAAACUAAUUCCACGAAAUCAAAAACUAUCUCUUAUCUCUCUUUUUUUUUUAUUCAAUGAUUCCAAAUUUCACUAUUCUUCCAUAUCAGUGGAGAGAAUCCAUUCUCCAAUUUAAAAUAAUUCUAACCUUAGAUAAAAUGAUGAGACAAAGUGGGGGGGUAUGUUUACACUAGUAUCUGAAUCAUUAACGGUUAAUUAAUCAUACAAACUCCACUUGUUAUAUACAUCGAAAAGAGAUAGAAACACAAGUAACAAUAAUAAAAAUAAUAAUAAUAAAAUAAAUCCAUAGAAUAGGCAUGCAAUGCAAGACAUCCAUUAGCUGUUAUCAAACAAAGAGACAGCUCAUGCACAAACAUGUCAGAUCACCACACUAAAAAGAAUCAAUUUUUUAGGCAAUUCUUAUAAAUCGUUGAUACUUUUUCCCUUCUUUCUCAUAACAUCCAAACAACAACAAAAGGAAUUUCAGAUUCCUUUAUCCCUUGAGAGGCCCUGAAGCUAAUACUUUCAGAGCAUCUUUUUCUUUGUGGUCCCCACAUACUCAUCUUGUUCUUUGUCUUUCUUCAUUUUUGGAUACCAAAUAAAUUCUCACACAAUAACAAAAUUACUAUGUCACUGUAAUUUUAUCAAACUUACUGCGAAUCCGAUUUAUCAAUCUACCGAUUAUGCAGAGGAUUUGCUCCUGAUGGUAUGCCUCUCUUGUCUUCCAACUCUGCAUUGUUGCUUCCUGAUAUAUUGUUAUGAGAUGAAGCAUAAUUUGUGAAAUUCAACGAACCAUCAGCAAUACAAAGAAAACCAGAAUUGCAGAAGAUUAGUAGAAUCAGCAGCACGGAUAAAACACUCAUUUCACUCAUUUGCAUCACAGAACAUGAAUCAAUUACUUAGAACUAUAUACUAUCCCUUAACAGUGGACAAGAAACACUUCAAAAAAUGAAUGGAAAGAAACAAGAAAUUGUAACAUAUGUUGGAUUUUGGAAUGAAAUAAAGAGAAGAUAACUAACAGGACAGGAUUAUAUUUUUGUCUCUGGAGGCAAAAGGAUGUUCUAAUCCGAAUUGAUUUGCUUUUGCCUUUGAAUUAUGACUUUAUGAAAAAGAAUGACAAAAACAAAACAGUUGUAGGAUUUUAUAUGUAACUCUACCUAUGUUGUCACUACAAUAAAAUAGUAUUUGAGUGAGGCCAAUUACCAAAUUACCAAUAUCUUAUCGGGUCGGUCCAAAGGCCAAGCGAUCCAAGCUAGAGUUUUAGAUUUAAAUAUAUAAUACGACAAAUUAAAUAUAAAAGUUUUUCUAAUUUUUGAUUUAGGUUCAAUAAUCGUUCUCAAC